Poecilia reticulata (guppy) is the source of this 499-nucleotide non-coding RNA. The record is from RefSeq and is a predicted model, not a curated record. Lineage: Eukaryota; Metazoa; Chordata; Actinopteri; Cyprinodontiformes; Poeciliidae.
ACAACCAAUGCGUUACAGAUAGCAGACAUCUGUAACCUAAUAUCGCUUUUAUUUAGUUGAUUUCACUUUAAAAAUGGUCGCAGGGUGCUGCGCGGGCGGCUGCACAGACUGACAAGGAUGCAAACCAAACUUAUUUUAUUUUAUAACUUUUAAUGAGGAAAGAUGCGGCAGUGAUGGAUAUCAGCCGUCAACCAUAAAGACUGUCAGCCCUCGGUGUAACCGCGGAUUUGCAGAGAAACACAUUUUACAAGAGUUUGGGCUGGCGCGCUGGAUGAAGUGGGAACCAUUAUGACUCAGCAGCUCCGCCCUGCAUGGUACUCUGUGUUCUUUUCUGAUGAAACUCAACGCAUCUCCAAGGCGAUAUUACUCCCCACGCUGGGAAUCUCAUCUCGCCCAGCUAAAGACACGAAGCCAACGCAGACGGGCCGGAGCUGGACAGGUUGUCCCCUGGUGCUGCCCAUGCAAAGGCGAUAAAACUAAAGCAGCAAAACGCACCGUC